This 405-nucleotide ribosomal RNA is filed under the name uncultured bacterium. RNAcentral's name for it is "bacterial SSU rRNA". It matches the Rfam family "Bacterial small subunit ribosomal RNA", at positions 355 to 775 of the family's 1533-position model. The record is from RNAcentral.
UAGGGAAUAUUGGGCAAUGGAGGAAACUCUGACCCAGCAACGCCGCGUGAAGGAUGAAGGUCUUCGGAUUGUAAACUUCUGUUGUGGGAGAAAAAUAAAUGAUGGUAUCUCAUGAGUAAGCUCCGGCCAACUAUGUGCCAGCAGCCGCGGUAAUACAUAGGGAGCAAGCGUUGUCCGGAAUUACUGGGCGUAAAGAGAGCGUAGGCGGUCUUUCAAGUCGGUGGUGAAAUCCCAGGGCUCAACUCUGGAACUGCCUCCGAAACUGUAAGACUAGAGUGUGGGAGAGGAAGAUGGAAUUUCAAGUGUAGCGGUGGAAUGCGUAGAUAUUUGAAGGAACAUCGGUGGCGAAGGCGAUCUUCUGGAACACAACUGACGUUGAGGCUCGAAAGCGUGGGGAGCAAACAG